UGGUUCCUACAGUGUUUGGGGUUCUUCAGUGUGUGUGUGUGUGGUUUCAUUUCUUUAAUUCUGAUACAGUUAAGUAUGGCUUUUGGUCUGGGUAAUGCUAAACAUCCAAAACCAGACCAUAACAAUAAAUUAAGUUUGGUCCAAUUUGGUUCGGUUCCUACAGUGUUUGGGGAUUUUUCAGUUCUGGAACUUUUCGGUUUAGUUUUUGUCUGGUUUGGGAUUGUGACCUUUUAGAUUGCUAAAGAUUAGGCCUAUUAAAUAAUAUAAGCUGGAAUACUAUUUUCCAAAUGGAAGAUUGAAAUAAUCUACAUAGGGAUAUAAUAUUGAAUGAGGAAUGAGAUUACUCGAAAUUUUGGUGUCGUGGUCCAAAAGAUGCAAUGGGAAAGAUAGGUACAAUAAUUUCUCAUUUUAAAUCUUUUCAUUUGGUACUUGGAGUGUUGCAGAUGUAAUCGGAAUUCUGUUGGUUUUUUUUUUUUUGGAAGAUGUAAUAGGUGACUUUUUCCCACUUUAAGAAUUUGGGUUCUUAUGCAUGGACUUAUAGCUUUUUUCAUAACAUUACCAUUUACCAAUGGUUAAACAUGCAUAGUUUAACACCCCCUUACUCGAUCUACUGUGUAGCCGAGCAAAAGAAUGCCACAUCCUGUGCCAAAGCACCUAAUCUUAUCCUAUUCGAUUGAUGAUUAAUUUAAUUUCAUCAUAAUUUAAUUAAAGAAAUUUUAAAUGAAAACUGCAAGAGUUUCCCCGUAUUAUUAACAUUUUGCCUGUUAGAGAAUUGACUUGUUCAAAUCAUCUAUAUUGGAAAUCUCAAAUCUAUAUGAAUUUCAACAUCACAAUUCAUAUUCCUUUUCUAAUCACAUCCAUUUAUUUACAUAAAUUUUUCCUUCAUUACAUUCCUUUACAAAAUGUGUACAUUUAUCAUAUAUUUCAAAAUGUAAUUACAACUUUUGUGUCUUAAGUACAAUACAUAUAGUCAUGCAUUAAUGUGGGCCAAUGUUCUCUAUACCAAAAUGAUGUGCGGAGGUGACAAUGAUCCCUACUGCAGAUCAGUCUCAAAAUCUUUUUCUCUAGUCUAUUGGGUCUUAUCACUUGGACCUGCGCGAGGAGAAACCAUCGCGCCAAGCAUUUUUGCUUAGUGGUGCACUAAUGUAAUAAAAAUAUCAUUUACAAACAAAAAUAAUUUCAUGCUUGUAUGUAAUAAGAAAAUGCAUAUUUAAAUAUUCAUAAAUCAUUUUAAGAAGAAUAUAGAGUUUAUAACCUCAAACUUUUAUAGUCAUUUCACA
This 1280-nucleotide unclassified non-coding RNA is filed under the name Hevea brasiliensis (rubber tree). Lineage: Eukaryota; Viridiplantae; Streptophyta; Magnoliopsida; Malpighiales; Euphorbiaceae. The record is from RNAcentral.